GAAGGAGAAUGUAACAAGGUUUCCGUAGGUGAACUGCGGAAGGAUCAUUGUUGAU
This 55-nucleotide ribosomal RNA is filed under the name Piper euryphyllum. RNAcentral describes it as "partial 18S ribosomal RNA". Lineage: Eukaryota; Viridiplantae; Streptophyta; Magnoliopsida; Piperales; Piperaceae. The record is from RNAcentral.